RNAcentral lists this ribosomal RNA (490 nucleotides) under uncultured bacterium. RNAcentral describes it as "partial 16S ribosomal RNA". It matches the Rfam family "Bacterial small subunit ribosomal RNA", at positions 30 to 507 of the family's 1533-position model. The record is from RNAcentral.
AUUGAACGCUGGCGGCAGGCCUAACACAUGCAAGUCGAACGGUAACAGGAAGACGCUUGCUUCUUUGCUGACGAGUGGCGGACGGGUGAGUAAUGUCUGGGAAACUGCCUGAUGGAGGGGGAUAACUACUGGAAACGGUAGCUAAUACCGCAUAACGUCGCAAGACCAAAAAGGGGGACCUUCGGGCCUCUUGCCAUCGGAUGUGCCCAGAUGGGAUUAGCUAGUAGGUGGGGUAACGGCUCACCUAGGCGACGAUCCCUAGCUGGUCUGAGAGGAUGACCAGCCACACUGGAACUGAGACACGGUCCAGACUCCUACGGGAGGCAGCAGUGGGGAAUAUUGCACAAUGGGCGCAAGCCUGAUGCAGCCAUGCCGCGUGUAUGAAGAAGGCCUUCGGGUUGGAAAGUACUUUCAGCGGGGAGGAAGGGAGUAAAGUUAAUACCUUAGCUCAUUGACGUUACCCGCAGAAGAAGCACCGGCUAACUCCGUG